AUGACAAUCAACUGGAAGAGAGAGAAAACAAUUACUCUACAGGAUAAGACAUUUGCCAAGGGAAUCCCUCCAAUCUCCUUACACAAAUUGAUAGCCAGUAAGAAUAAAAUAACAGAAGGAUAUUUCUUAUUUCCGAAGGCCAAGGAUAAAACAAAAAUGGCACCAAUAGAAAACUCUGUGAAGGAAGUACUACAAGAAUUCCAGGAUGUGUUUGAAACACCAAUGGAACUUCCACCUCAAAGAGGUUUUGACCAUGCAAUCCCUCUCAAAACAGGAUCUGAGCCACCAGCACUCAGACCUUAUAGGGUGCCUCAUCACCAGAAAGAAGAGAUGGAAAAACAAAUCAAACAACUACUAGACGCUUCAAUCAUAAGGCCUAGUGACAGUCCGUAUGCAGCUCCUGCAUUGCUUGUCAAAAAGAAAGAUGGCACCUGGAGGCUGUGCACAUAUUUCAGAAAACUCAAUGACCAAACCAUCAUAAACAAAUUUCCAAUACCAAUCAUUGAAGAUUUGUUGGAUGAAUUGCAUGGGGCCAAAUAUUUUACAAAAAUAGAUCUCAGAUCUGGGUAUUACCAAAUAAGGAUGAAAAAGGAAGACAUACCCAAAACUGCCUUCACUACAUUCUUGGGGCAUUUCGAGUACCUGGUCAUGCCCUUUGGCCUUACUAAUGCACCGGCCACAUUCCAAGCAUUGAUGAAUUUCAUUUUCAAGGAGCACCUCAGGCACUUUGUCCUCAUCUUCUUUGGUGAUAUCUUAAUCUAUAGUAAGACACUGGAAGACCACAUUAGGCACUUGAGGAUAGUGCUACAAAUCUUGAGGGAACAGCAACUAUAUGCUAAAAUGAGCAAAUGUGUGUUUGCUGCUCCCCAAGUGGAAUACCUUGGCCAUAUUAUCUCUUAUGCUGGCGUAGCCAUCGAUCCUACCAAGGUAUCCACUGUGAGAGAUUGGCCCUUAACAAAAACAAUCACUCAACUGAGAAGUUUCUUGGGCAUGGCUGGGUACUAUAGAAGAUUUGUUCCCAACUAUGAGCUCAUUUGCAGACCACUCCACAACAUCCUCAAGAAGAACUCCUUCCACUGGACAGAGGAGCAAACUGAAGCCUUCAAUUUGCUAAAACAGAAACUAACCAUUGCCCCAGUUCUGGCCCUACCAAACUUCAAAGAAAAAUUUGUACUGGAAACUAAUGCUAGUGGGUAUAGUAUAGGUGCAGUACUGAUGCAAAAUGGCAGACCUAUAGCAUAUUUGAGCAAAACACUGGGCAUGAAAGUUGCUGCUAUGUCAACUUAUGAAAUAGAAGCCUUGGCAAUAUUGGAAGCCCUUAAAAAGUGGAGGCACUACUUCCAGGGACUGGAAUUAGUCAUAAAACUGACCAGAAAAGUCUUAAGUUUAUCACUGAGCAGAAAGUUUCUGAAGGGCUGCAGCACAAACUCCUACUCAAGCUGUUGGAGUUCAAUUACUCCAUUGAAUACAAGAAGGGGAAAGAAAAUAAAGUGGCCGAUGCAUUGA
This 1506-nucleotide ribosomal RNA is filed under the name Triticum aestivum (bread wheat). Its description in RNAcentral is "partial small subunit ribosomal RNA". Lineage: Eukaryota; Viridiplantae; Streptophyta; Magnoliopsida; Poales; Poaceae. The record is from RNAcentral.